Lotus japonicus is the source of this 1212-nucleotide long non-coding RNA. RefSeq lists it as uncharacterized. The record is from RefSeq and is a predicted model, not a curated record. Lineage: Eukaryota; Viridiplantae; Streptophyta; Magnoliopsida; Fabales; Fabaceae. The transcript has 3 exons.
UUAAAAUCUGUUGAAGAUAGUUUGAGAUUCAUCCUCUCACCUCCCAUUCCCAAUGCUGCUCUCACCUCGGUACUAAUCAACCUCCCACCUCUCCCACUCAUCCUUUCAAAUUUCUACAGCUUGCUUUUCAAAAUUUGAUUUUGAAGGAACUCAAAUACCCAAUUCGUCUCCUUAUCUAUUCAGAUUCAGAUUCAAAUUCUCUCUCUCUCUCUCUCCCUCUCGCCUUAACUCUCUCCAACACCGCAGGUGCCUUGGCAAGAUCCUUCAUUCUACAUGGAACUCUUUCUGGAAAACUUCUCCCAAAUUUCCCCAGACCCUCUUCUCCCCUCUCGCAAUUCCACAAAUUUCAAAUAGAUGCUUAACCAAGUAGCUUCUUCAUUGUCGUCACAUUCGCCGAGUCGUUUUUUCUUUUAUUAUUUAUGUAUGUAAAAACAUGAUUACUUGCUAUUAUAAUCAUUGAUCCUUCCUUGCAAUUGGUACUCAAAUUAUUCAAAUUUGUUUCUCAAGUGCGUAGAUAUCUUCCUGCAUCUAUGCUCUCCAUUCUUAAAACUUGGAGGCCUUUCUUUUGAAUCCCCUCAGAUAUGUUUUCUUUUUAGGCGGUGCUAUAUAUUUGGCAUGCGCCUUGAGCCCAACUAGCUGACAAUGAAGCAUGGUCGAUGUCUCACUUGGAGAUAAGAUUUUCUAUUGUACUCAGAAUCAAGCAUCAAGUUUUAGUGAAAACUCUAAGUUCAUCAAGGGCUGCUAGAUAGGAAGCAGAGUCACCGGGCAACAAGGUGGUGAUUUCACUAAGUUGGAGGCUUUAUGAUUUGGUGCAAGAAUUCCUUGGUAGAGGAGGCUGUAAUAUAGAGUUUAGAGAUAAUCCACGAUUUGAAGUAUUUUUACUGGAUAUGUAUAUGGGUGCAUAUAUGAAAGCGUGUAUUUUUUGUUUUAUGUGGGUGAUGUUGAGUUGAUCCUAGAUUUAUUCAAAGGAUAUUUGUCCUAACUGUAUACAGUUCUAUUACAUUACCUAUCCAAUAAGAAGUGUGCUCUCAUGGAUAUUCAAUAUUGGUUUAACUAAAAUGUUUAGAUGCCCAUGGAGGGUUUGUUACCUAUCUCUAAGGUUGUUUCUAUUUGAUAAGCAAGCCAAUCAAGUGUUCUGUUUUUACAGGUAGAGGAUGUUAUAUUUUUGUUGAAUAGAGGUUGAGAAUUGUUAAUUUUGAUAUAAAAAUAAUG